This 615-nucleotide long non-coding RNA is filed under the name Chrysolophus pictus (golden pheasant). RNAcentral describes it as "lncRNA (ENSCPIG00010010668.1)". The record is from RNAcentral. Lineage: Eukaryota; Metazoa; Chordata; Aves; Galliformes; Phasianidae.
UAUGGCCCCCCCUGACCUCAGCCCCACUUUGCCCCCAGCUCUGAGAACGCGGUGCUGGAGGCCGGGAAAGUCAUCGCAGAUAAGAAGUUCCUCAUCCGCAGGAUCCACUCACUGCCUCCACGGCUCCUGGGGAGCAGCCCGGCCCUGCGGGACGUCUCCAACUGCAGCACCUUCGGCAGCCCACGGGGUGGGGGGCAGCGCCGUGAUGAUGAGGGGUGUGUGUUUAAGAAGCCGCAGAGGCCGGGGCAUCGCAGCCGGGUGCUGGCGAUGGAGGGGGCCCUGGGGAAGGAGCCCUUUGUGCAGAGGCCCAGCUCUGCACCCGACCUGCUGUUUGAUACCCCCGAGAAGGAAAACCUCCCCGAGGGUGAGAGCCCCGUGGUGCUGCGCCGCUGCUCCCUCACCUCCUCCAUGGGCGAUGAGGAGGAGGACGACGGCUUCAUGGAGAUCCUGGAUGAGGAAGAGAUGAAGGUAAGGAGGAGAGGAAGUGCCUGGGGGGCACCCAGAGCCCCUGCAUCAUGGCUGCAGCACCACGGGGUCCCUCUGCUCCCCCCCCAUUCUGGGCUGCCCCUUCCCCUUCCCCAUCCCCUCCCCCCCCCUUUGUCCCGGGGGGGGGUG